GUGCCAGCCGCCGCGGUAAGACGGAGGGUGCAAGCGUUGUUCGGAAUUACUGGGCGUAAAGCGCGUGUAGGCGGCUUCCUAAGUCCGAUGUGAAAGCCCGGGGCUCACCCCCGGAAGUGCGUCGGAUACUGGGAGGCUAGAGUACCGGAGAGGAGGGCGGAAUUCCUGGUGUAGCGGUGAAAUGCGUAGAUAUCAGGAGGAACACCGGUGGCGAAGGCGGCCCUCUGGACGGAUACUGACGCUGAGACGCGAAAGCGUGGGGAGCAAACAGGAUUAGAUACCCUGGUAGUCCACGCCGUAAACGAUGGGCACUAGGUGUCCGAGGUAUUGACCCCUUGGGUGCCGCAGCUAACGCAUUAAGUGCCCCGCCUGGGGAGUACGGCCGCAAGGUUAAAACUCAAAGGAAUUGACGGGG
This 415-nucleotide ribosomal RNA is filed under the name uncultured prokaryote. RNAcentral's name for it is "bacterial SSU rRNA". It matches the Rfam family "Bacterial small subunit ribosomal RNA", at positions 505 to 918 of the family's 1533-position model. The record is from RNAcentral.